Molecule: ribosomal RNA, 425 nt
Filed under: uncultured bacterium
Lineage: Bacteria
Description: bacterial SSU rRNA
Rfam family: Bacterial small subunit ribosomal RNA
Source: RNAcentral
GUGGGGGAUAUUGCACAAUGGAGGAAACUCUGAUGCAGCAACGCCGCGUGAGGGAAGAAGGUUUUCGGAUUGUAAACCUCUGUCCUUAGGGACGAUAAUGACGGUACCUAAGGAGGAAGCUCCGGCUAACUACGUGCCAGCAGCCGCGGUAAUACGUAGGGAGCAAGCGUUGUCCGGAUUUACUGGGUGUAAAGGGUGCGUAGGCGGAUCUGCAAGUCAGGCGUGAAAUCCAUGGGCUUAACCCAUGAACUGCGCUUGAAACUGUGGGUCUUGAGUGAAGUAGAGGUAGGCGGAAUUCCCGGUGUAGCGGUGAAAUGCGUAGAGAUCGGGAGGAACACCAGUGGCGAAGGCGGCCUACUGGGCUUUAACUGACGCUGAGGCACGAAAGUGUGGGUAGCAAACAGGAUUAGAAACCCUAGUAGUCC